AAGGAAGACUUUCUAUGGAAACUACAUGUACAUAUUUUAAUAUGAUAAAAAGCUGCUGAACUGGAAACUCAGCUUCCUGUUCAUGAACUUUAAGGCUUCAGGCAUGUUGUCUCGUUGCAUUUUUGGAUGCUGCCCGAUGUCCUGCUGGCACAAAAUAAACACACUCUGAGAGUUUCCAGCUUGACCAAACAGAUGUUUCCAUAUAAUGAUUAUUAUGGACAUAUUAUUUCUGACUUUCACUUUCUGCUGUGUUUCCUGGAUUUCUGAGCAAAGACAAGAAAAAAGUGCAGUCUGUCCUUGUGGAGUUUCUUAGUUUGAUUCAGUGAGAAGAGUCUGGAAGAGCAGCUGAGGAGGAGCAGGAAGGAGGAGGAAGGAGCAGGAACUAGCAGUAGUUUCACUUUGUCAGAAAGAGGACUGUGCUCAGCUGUGGACUCCACCAUGAUUGUUUGACUAUAAAAAGAGAAACUGUGUCUCUGCUGCUCUGAUAAAGACCUCUGUGACUGGUUUUGUGAGACUGCUAUUCACACUUGAAUGAGAAUGAAGCGACACUGCAGUGGAUCUUCCCUCAUCCUUAAAGUGCAGCUGUGGAUAAUCUGUUGAAGAACCCACAUAUUUCAUGUCAUCUGGUGGAGCUUUAUCAAAGAUGUGUCAGCUUCAGUGUGAAAUAUGAUGCAGUUGACUAAAUCACAAGAAACCCAAGACCCAGCCUGUUUGUUGGAGGGAUAAUUAGAUGCCAACUGAAUCAGAGUAAACUCAGCUUCUCUGGGAUCUUUACAAAAUAAGCUCAUUAUGAGACUCUGAUCUUGAAACCCACAGAAAACAGAAGAUGGAUGCUGUGAAAAUAUUCUGCUGGACUCUGGAGUGUGUCU
This is a long non-coding RNA of Oreochromis niloticus (Nile tilapia), 869 nucleotides long. RefSeq lists it as uncharacterized. Lineage: Eukaryota; Metazoa; Chordata; Actinopteri; Cichliformes; Cichlidae. The record is from RefSeq and is a predicted model, not a curated record. The transcript is spliced from 3 exons.